AGCAGCCGCGGUAAUUCCAGCUCCAAUAGCGUAUAUUAAAGUUGUUGCAGUUAAAAAGCUCGUAGUUGAAUUUCGGGGCCAGUAGGUUGGUCGUGCCACUGGUAUGCACUGGCCUCACUGGUCCCUCCUUCUUGUAGAACCGUGAUGGCAUUAAUUUGUUGUUGCGGGGAAACAGGACUGUUACUUUGAAAAAAUUAGAGUGCUUAAAGCAGGCUCGCGCUUGAAUACAUUAGCAUGGAAUAACGAAAUAGGACGAUCGAACCUAUUUUGUUGGUUUCUAGGAUCCACGUAAUGAUUAAUAGGGAUAGUUGGGGGCAUUAGUAUUCAAUUGUCAGAGGUGAAAUUCUUGGAUUUAUUGAAGACUAACUACUGCGAAAGCAUUUGCCAAGGAUGUUUUCAUUAAUCAAGAACGAAAGUUAGGGGAUCGAAGACGAUCAGAUACCGUCGUAGUCUUAACCAUAAACUAUGCCGACUAGGGAUCGGAUGAAGUUAAUUUUUAAUGACUCAUUCGGCGCCUUAC
This 520-nucleotide ribosomal RNA is filed under the name uncultured Glomus. Its description in RNAcentral is "SSU rRNA". It matches the Rfam family "Eukaryotic small subunit ribosomal RNA", at positions 569 to 1091 of the family's 1831-position model. The record is from RNAcentral. Lineage: Eukaryota; Fungi; Glomeromycota; Glomeromycetes; Glomerales; Glomeraceae.